CCCCUUCCUCAUCUACUAGAUUUGGGGUUUUAAUAGUGGAGGAGGUUAUUUGUGUCUAGAUCUGCUUGGAUUUGUAGUUUUGUUGGUUGGUGUUUUAGUUGUAAGGUGACUGGUAUCGGUGGUGUUCUUUGUCUCCAAGGCAACGAUGACGUCUAUGGUGGCAGUGGCAACAACGGCGGUAAGGGCUUUGUUGGUUUUUGGUUGUUUGUUUGUAGUUUUCUUAUUUUGUAAUAAUUGCAUCAACUUCUUGUGAGUUUGGUGUUUGAUUAUUUUCUAGUCUUUACUUGUAUUUUGUACUUGUGCGAGUAAAAAGUUGUAGUUGUAUUCGUAGAUUUGGGCUCUGUGAUUCAUGUUUAGUUUGUUCAAGCAUGAUCUUUGUGCCUAAUUUAUGAAUACAAUUAUUGUUUUUCUCUUAAAAAUCUAGAGUAGAUGUGCUUCCCACUCUGUAUCCAAAUUCGAAUCCACAUUCUCGUAGUUUAAAUUAAUUUAAAAUAAAAUAUCACUAAUAUAUAUAUAUAUAAAUCUCAAGUAUAUAGACUUGAAAAUCAAGAAUAAUGUGGUAAACCAAAAACAACAUCUUUUUAGGCAUAAACACAAUAAAACCCAAAAACCAAGAGUAGAAGAUCCUGUUUCUGUUAUCCUCGGUUUUUGAGUAUGAGAUAAAUUACAGAGCUUCCAGAGUUUCAUUAGAUCCCACUUUUAAAGAGAAGAAGACAAUAAAUUUUUUUUUUUUUUUUUUGGCGAAAGGACAAUAAUUAUUAAUUAGUUGUUUGUUAUUGGCAUUGGCAUAAACGUUGGUUCCACCACUUUGGCAAUGCGACCACAACACCCAGACAGACAAGACACACUCAGACAAAUCACUUUUCGACGCAGCCUUUAACCGACGUAAACGCACGAGCACGAGCUCAGAAGCAAUAAAUAAUUAUGAGUAAUUAAAUGAUAAAAGUUUUCUUUGUUAACAAAGAGAAACACCUUUUGUUAUGUUUUAUAUGUCCGAAUUCCCCUAUUUUCGUGGAUAAAAAAUAAUAUAAGAGCAUCUUCAACGGAUAUGUUAAAUAUUAAUUAUUAAAUUUAAAUUUGAUGAUUGAUAUGGUAAUU
This 1098-nucleotide long non-coding RNA is filed under the name Prunus persica (peach). RNAcentral's name for it is "long non-coding RNA (PPER_LNC008347)". The record is from RNAcentral. Lineage: Eukaryota; Viridiplantae; Streptophyta; Magnoliopsida; Rosales; Rosaceae.